UACGUAGGGGGCGAGCGUUAUCCGGAUUUACUGGGUGUAAAGGGAGCGUAGACGGCGAAGCAAGUCUGAAGUGAAAGCCCGUGGCUCAACCGCGGAACGGCUUUGGAAACUGUUUUGCUAGAGUGCUGGAGAGGCAAGUGGAAUUCCUAGUGUAGCGGUGAAAUGCGUAGAUAUUAGGAGGAACACCAGUGGCGAAGGCGGCUUGCUGGACAGUAACUGACGUUGAGGCUCGAAAGCGUGGGGAGCAA
This 248-nucleotide ribosomal RNA is filed under the name uncultured Lachnospiraceae bacterium. Its description in RNAcentral is "partial 16S ribosomal RNA". It matches the Rfam family "Bacterial small subunit ribosomal RNA", at positions 524 to 771 of the family's 1533-position model. The record is from RNAcentral. Lineage: Bacteria; Bacillati; Bacillota; Clostridia; Lachnospirales; Lachnospiraceae.